GAUGAACGCUAGCGGCAGGCCUAACACAUGCAAGUCGAGGGGCAGCACAGAAACAGCAAUGUUUUGGUGGCGACCGGCGGACGGGUGCGUAACGCGUAUGCAACCUACCUUUAACAGGGGGAUAACGGAGAGAAAUUUCCACUAAUACCCCAUAACAUCGAUCAAGGCAUCUUGAUUGGUUGAAAACUCCGGUGGUUAAAGAUGGGCAUGCGUUGUAUUAGGUAGUUGGUGAGGUAAUGGCUCACCAAGCCUGCGAUACAUAGGGGGACUGAGAGGUUAGACCACCACACUGGUACUGAGACACGGACCAGACUCCUACGGGAGGCAGCAGUGAGGAAUAUUGGUCAAUGGGGGCAACCCUGAACCAGCCAUGCCGCGUGCAGGAAGACUGCUCUAUGAGUUGUAAACUGCUUUUAAACAGGGAGAAAGCACAGUAUGUAUACUGUGUUGAAGGUACUGUAAGAGAAUGUACCCUAUGAAUAAGCAUCGGCUAACUCCGUGCCAGCAGCCGCGGUAA
This 517-nucleotide ribosomal RNA is filed under the name uncultured bacterium. RNAcentral describes it as "partial 16S ribosomal RNA". It matches the Rfam family "Bacterial small subunit ribosomal RNA", at positions 28 to 523 of the family's 1533-position model. The record is from RNAcentral.